Molecule: ribosomal RNA, 811 nt
Filed under: uncultured Planctomycetota bacterium
Lineage: Bacteria; Pseudomonadati; Planctomycetota
Description: bacterial SSU rRNA
Rfam family: Bacterial small subunit ribosomal RNA
Source: RNAcentral
GGAUUAGGCAUGCAAGUCGAACGCUCCAUUUUCUUUCGGGAUGAUGGAGAGUGGCGAAAGGGUGAGUAAUGCAUAGACAAUCAACCCCCAGCUCUCGGAUAACUGAGAGAAAUCUCAGCUAAUACGAGAUAGGCUCGCGGAGGAGCAUUCUUCUGCGAGUAAAGGAGGCCUCUCAACGAUGCUCCUGGUUGGGGACGGGUUUAUGUCCUAUCAGCUUGUUGGUGGGGUAACGGCCUACCAAGGCUAUGACGGGUAGCCGACCUGAGAGGGUGACCGGCCACACUGGGACUGAGACACUGCCCAGACUCCUACGGGAGGCUGCAGUCGAGAAUCUUCCGCAAUGGGCGAAAGCCUGACGGAGCGACGCCGCGUGCAGGAUGAAGGCCUUCGGGUUGUAAACUGCUGUCCUAGGUUAAGAAACGGCUAGGUGUCAAUAGCAUCUAGCCUUGACAAAGGCCUGGAAGAAAGCCACGGCUAACUUCGUGCCAGCAGCCGCGGUAAGACGAAGGUGGCAACCGUUGUUCGGAAUUACUGGGCAUAAAGCGCGCGUAGGCGGCAACAUCAGUCAGGUGUGAAAUCCCUCGGCCCAACCGAGGAACUGCGCUUGAUACUGUGUUGCUUGAGGGCAGGAGGGGAGCGUGGAAUUCCUGGUGGAGCGGUGAAAUGCGUUGAUAUCAGGAGGAACACCGGCGGCGAAGGCGACGCUCUGGCCUGCUUCUGACGCUGAGGUGCGAAAGCUAGGGUAGCAAACGGGAUUAGAUACCCCGGUAGUCCUAGCCGUAAACGAUGGGCACUAAGUAGAGGGGUUUUA